GGUGGGUUGAACGUGGUUUUGCGGCUAACUAAACCUCACAUUUUAAGGCAAUGUUAAAUGACAACAUUUAAUUUACAUGACAGGAGUACUAGUACAUUACAAAUAAACACAAGAACAACCGAGACAGAAAAAUACAUAUAUAAAUGAUAUAAUAGCACAUUUCGACAGGUUUACUACGAAUACCUUGAAUUAAUUAAGGACAGUAC
Molecule: long non-coding RNA, 206 nt
Filed under: Mytilus galloprovincialis (Mediterranean mussel)
Lineage: Eukaryota; Metazoa; Mollusca; Bivalvia; Mytilida; Mytilidae
Source: RNAcentral